UGCCAGCCGCCGCGGUAAUACGGAGGGGGUUAGCGUUGUUCGGAAUUACUGGGCGUAAAGCGUACGUAGGCGGAUCAGAAAGUUGGGGGUGAAAUCCCAGGGCUCAACCCUGGAACUGCCUCCAAAACUAUUGGUCUAGAGUUCGAGAGAGGUAAGUGGAAUUCCGAGUGUAGAGGUGAAAUUCGUAGAUAUUCGGAGGAACACCAGUGGCGAAGGCGGCUUACUGGCUCGAUACUGACGCUGAGGUACGAAAGUGUGGGGAGCAAACAGGAUUAGAUA
This 279-nucleotide ribosomal RNA is filed under the name uncultured bacterium. Its description in RNAcentral is "partial 16S ribosomal RNA". It matches the Rfam family "Bacterial small subunit ribosomal RNA", at positions 506 to 784 of the family's 1533-position model. The record is from RNAcentral.